This 404-nucleotide long non-coding RNA is filed under the name Erythranthe guttata (spotted monkey flower). RNAcentral describes it as "long non-coding RNA (EGUT_LNC003161)". Lineage: Eukaryota; Viridiplantae; Streptophyta; Magnoliopsida; Lamiales; Phrymaceae. The record is from RNAcentral.
CGCUUACCUCACAGAGAACUUCUGGGUUCUCCAGGCAUCAUGGUUCCCCAAAAUGAUUGCUUUUGGAAAAUCGAGAUUCGAAAUGCUUCGAACAAGAUCAACGUUCUCAUUACCAAAAUCACCUGAACAAACUCCAACACGAUAAUAAGCAAAACAAAAUAAGCUUACACAAAUGCCGAAUCCAUAGAUAGAUAGUACAGAAGGUGGGAAACAAGACCUGCCUGUAAAAAGCACCAGAUCCGGCUGCAUUUCCCCAGAAACACAAAUUACAAAAAAAUAUAAGAAACGACAGAGAGCAACAAUUGUGAAACGUAGACAAUUGAAUCGAAUAAGGCAAUCUACAUUUUGAAUACAGUAGUUAUACUUAUAUUGGCAAUAAAAUGGAAUAAAAUUCCUACUCAACU